Molecule: non-coding RNA, 115 nt
Organism: Danio rerio (zebrafish)
Lineage: Eukaryota; Metazoa; Chordata; Actinopteri; Cypriniformes; Danionidae
Source: Rfam
AAAGGCAACUAGCUCUCUGCAACUCUCACAUGGUCGCCCACUGACGCUAAGCAGGGCUGCGCCUGGUAAGUACCUGGAUGGGAGACCACAUGGGAAAGCUAGGUUGCUGCGGGAA